Molecule: ribosomal RNA, 253 nt
Filed under: uncultured bacterium
Lineage: Bacteria
Description: partial 16S ribosomal RNA
Rfam family: Bacterial small subunit ribosomal RNA
Source: RNAcentral
UACGGAGGAUGCAAGCGUUAUCCGGAAUGAUUGGGCGUAAAGCGUCCGCAGGUGGCUAUGUAAGUCUGCUGUUAAAGAGUCUGGCUCAACCAGAUAAAGGCAGUGGAAACUACAUGGCUAGAGUGCGUUCGGGGCAGAGGGAAUUCCUGGUGUAGCGGUGAAAUGCGUAGAGAUCAGGAGGAACACCGGUGGCGAAGGCGGCUUCCUGGACCGACACUGACGCUGAGGCGCGAAAGCUAGGGGAGCAAACGGG